Small nuclear RNA from Crocodylus porosus (Australian saltwater crocodile), 138 nucleotides. Its record names the gene U2. It matches the Rfam family "U2 spliceosomal RNA". Rfam says of the family: U2 is a small nuclear RNA (snRNA) component of the spliceosome (involved in pre-mRNA splicing). Complementary binding between U2 snRNA (in an area lying towards the 5' end but 3' to hairpin I) and the branchpoint sequence (BPS) of the intron results the bulging out of an unpaired adenosine, on the BPS, which initiates a nucleophilic attack at the intronic 5' splice site, thus starting the first of two transesterification reactions that mediate splicing. Lineage: Eukaryota; Metazoa; Chordata; Crocodylia; Crocodylidae. The record is from Ensembl.
UGUUCUAGCCUGCCUGAUAUGUCCUCCAUAGGAGGUCUAUAUUGAGCAUAUUCUUUUUGGUAUUGGGUGGUGGAACUGGAGCGUGCUCCAUCCACUCCAUGCAUUGACCUGGUAUUGCAGUACUUCCAGGACCAGUGC